GGUCCCCGUGAUGCGGGGUGGUGACUGACGGCUCCGGGUCUGAGGGGCUCCUGCUUGUCAGGUUCUAGAUAUUCUGCAAUAUCAGCCUGUCAGCAUCUGGCUCAGGAAGGCUAUAGAGUAUAUUACAACAUGCAGAUAAGUGGAGGCCCUCAGAGGAUGGAUUCCAGGUAAUGAUAUUGUAUUGUCUAAAUUAAAAAUUAGUCUGAGGUAUGCAAACCUGAUGAAGUUGAUGGUCAGGACUCUAUUAGAUGGAACAGGGACAUAACAUUUACAGGACUUAGUACUCAGAAUGAACUGAGAUGAACAUAGUAAGAAGCGAUUGUGUCUUAGUUUAUAUAUAAUAUACCAUAAUGUUCUUUUUGUGAUCUAUUUUAUAAUCACAUUUUAUAUAUGUAAUGUGAUGAACAUAGUAAGA
Molecule: long non-coding RNA, 415 nt
Filed under: Phascolarctos cinereus (koala)
Lineage: Eukaryota; Metazoa; Chordata; Mammalia; Diprotodontia; Phascolarctidae
Description: lncRNA (ENSPCIG00000035264.1)
Source: RNAcentral